GGAACUGAUAGUGAUUGGUUGCGUUGUCUGUCAUCCCAGCAAGGACAAGGCUGAUUAUGCCGAUCUAGCUGGCUUCUUUUCUUACAACUCUGUACGUGUCCCUCCCAAAACUGUUUGCUUGGCUGGAGAAAAUGACCUUCCAGAAGAACAGGGCCCACUGUUCUUUGGUUACAGGUAUAACAAAUUGCUGCAGUUCACAACUGGAACCUCCAAACCUUUUUGCAUUUAAGAAUGCAAAAGUCUGGGCCUGGUGAGAUGGCUCAGCAGGUAAGAGCACUGACUGCUCUUCC
Molecule: unclassified non-coding RNA, 290 nt
Organism: Mus spicilegus (steppe mouse)
Lineage: Eukaryota; Metazoa; Chordata; Mammalia; Rodentia; Muridae
Gene: 7SK
Rfam family: 7SK RNA
About the family: 7SK was discovered as an abundant small nuclear RNA in the mid-70s but a possible function has only recently been suggested. Two independent studies have found that 7SK RNA binds the CDK9/cyclin T complex (known as elongation factor P-TEFb).
Source: Ensembl